RNAcentral lists this ribosomal RNA (253 nucleotides) under uncultured bacterium. RNAcentral's name for it is "partial 16S ribosomal RNA". It matches the Rfam family "Bacterial small subunit ribosomal RNA", at positions 524 to 776 of the family's 1533-position model. The record is from RNAcentral.
UACGUAGGGUGCAAGCGUUGUCCGGAAUUAUUGGGCGUAAAGAGCUCGUAGGCGGUCUGUCGCGUCGGCUGUGAAAUCCCGGAGCUCAACUCCGGGUCUACAGUCGAUACGGGCAGACUGGAGUUCGGCAGGGGAGACUGGAAUUCCUGGUGUAGCGGUGAAAUGCGCAGAUAUCAGGAGGAACACCGGUGGCGAAGGCGGGGCUCUGGGCCGAUACUGACGCUGAGGAGCGAAAGCGUGGGGAGCGAACAGG